UACGAAGGGGGCUAGCGUUGCUCGGAAUCACUGGGCGUAAAGCGCACGUAGGCGGGUCUUUAAGUCAGGGGUGAAAUCCUGGAGCUCAACUCCAGAACUGCCUUUGAUACUGAGGAUCUUGAGUCCGGGAGAGGUGAGUGGAACUGCGAGUGUAGAGGUGAAAUUCGUAGAUAUUCGGAAGAACACCAGUGGCGAAGGCGGCUCACUGGCCCGGUACUGACGCUGAGGUGCGAAAGCGUGGGGAGCAAACAGG
RNAcentral lists this ribosomal RNA (253 nucleotides) under uncultured bacterium. RNAcentral's name for it is "partial 16S ribosomal RNA". It matches the Rfam family "Bacterial small subunit ribosomal RNA", at positions 524 to 776 of the family's 1533-position model. The record is from RNAcentral.